GCCGCUAAAGUGAUUUCUACCCGGCAGAAAAUAUUGCACAUGGAAUUUUAGAAAGAGAGAACGGUUUCAUGGAGCAUUGUCUCUGUCCUUGAGACCGA
Maniola jurtina (meadow brown) is the source of this 98-nucleotide long non-coding RNA. RefSeq lists it as uncharacterized. The record is from RefSeq and is a predicted model, not a curated record. The transcript is spliced from 3 exons. Lineage: Eukaryota; Metazoa; Arthropoda; Insecta; Lepidoptera; Nymphalidae.